CAAAUGCCUCGUCAUCCAAUUAGUGACGCGCAUGAAUGGAUUAACGAGAUUCCCACUGUCCCUAUCUACUGUCUAGCGAAACCACAGCCAAGGGAACGGGCUUGGAAAAAUCAGCGGGGAAAGAAGACCCUGUUGAGCUUGACUCUAGUUUGACUUUGUGAAGAGACAUGGGAGGUGUAGCAUAAGUGGGAGACUUCGGUCGAAAGUGAAAUACCACUACUCCCAUCGUUUCUUUACUUACUCGAUGAGGCGGAGUGCGAUUCUUAUCAGAAUCACCCUACUUGCGCAAAGUGUCGGACUGUCUAUCAGGCAGUCUGCACGAUCCGAUUCGAGGACAUUGUCAGGCGGGGAGUUUGACUGGGGCGGUACAUCUGUCAAAUACUAACGCAGGUGUCCUAAGGUUGGCUCCGUCAGGACAGAAACCUGGCUUAGAGCAAAAGGGCAAAUGCCAGCUUGAUCUACGACGUUCAGUAAACGUAUAGACGGCGAAAGCCUGGCCUAU
This 502-nucleotide ribosomal RNA is filed under the name Candona spicata. RNAcentral's name for it is "LSU rRNA". It matches the Rfam family "Eukaryotic large subunit ribosomal RNA", at positions 2284 to 2768 of the family's 3401-position model. Lineage: Eukaryota; Metazoa; Arthropoda; Ostracoda; Podocopida; Candonidae. The record is from RNAcentral.